This 23-nucleotide non-coding RNA is filed under the name Arabidopsis thaliana (thale cress). Lineage: Eukaryota; Viridiplantae; Streptophyta; Magnoliopsida; Brassicales; Brassicaceae. The record is from RNAcentral.
GUACAAAUCUCCUCCUCCACCGU